Molecule: long non-coding RNA, 570 nt
Organism: Cyanistes caeruleus (blue tit)
Lineage: Eukaryota; Metazoa; Chordata; Aves; Passeriformes; Paridae
Source: RefSeq, a predicted model, not a curated record
GAAUGAAGAUGACAAUACACAAAGCAGAUACAGCAGAACAGCAAGUAGUGAUUACAGCUUGGUGAAGCCCCUGCCCUGAAUGAUGUGCCCUAGAGCCAUUUACUGGGGGAGAGGAAGAUGUGGGAGAAAAUAAAGCAUUUCUGUGUAAUCAGAAAGCAUCAAAAGAUAGGAGAGGAUUUAUUUAGGAUGUAUGAGCUAUGUGCAGGAAUCAGAAAAUGAAUUGGAACUUUCAUGUGACAAGAUCAGCCUCUAAUUAUGAUGUAAGAAAUUAUUUCCUCAUAGUCUGUGAGGUACUUGGAAAAAGGGCCUCUGCUGGAGGCUCUUGAUGACAUCUGGUGCUCCUGGGUGAGAAAAGAAAAGUCAGAGGUCUGCAGAGCUCCAGCUUGAUGCACACAGCUUGAUUAUAAAGCAGUCUGUCUCUCUAGAUGUUGGAGGUGACAUGCUCUCCGCCUAAGGGAUUAACCAAAAGGGAAAGUUGAUCUGAAUAUCCUGGGGAAGCAGAGUUCUAUUGACUCUCUGAAUCUCAGAAUUGCUCAUGCAGUAAAACAGGAGUUUUAUCCAGCAGGAAAA